AGCGAACGUUUGCGGCGGGCUUAACACAUGCAAGUCGAACGAGAAUCCCUUCGGGGAGGAAAGUGGCGCACGGGUGCGUAACACGUGGAUAACCAACCCAUUGGUUUGGGACAACACCGGGAAACUGGUGCUAAUACCAGAUGUGUCGCAGCUGUCUUCAGGCGGUUGCGAGAAAGGCCCGCAAGGGUCGCCAACGGACGGGUCCGCGUCCCAUCAGCUAGUUGGUGAGGUAAUGGCUCACCAAGGCAAAGACGGGUAGCUGGUCUGAGAGGAUGAUCAGCCACACUGGAACUGAGACACGGUCCAGACUCCUACGGGAGGCAGCAGUGGGGAAUAUUGCGCAGUGGGCGAAAGCCUGACGCAGCCACGCCGCGUGAGUGAUGAAGGUCUUCGGAUCGUAAAGCUCUGUGGGGGGAGAAGAAGAAAGCCGGUGAAGAGCCGGCCCUGACGGUAUCCCCUUAGCAAGCACCGGCUAACUCCGUGCCAGCAGCCGCGGU
Molecule: ribosomal RNA, 497 nt
Filed under: uncultured bacterium
Lineage: Bacteria
Description: bacterial SSU rRNA
Rfam family: Bacterial small subunit ribosomal RNA
Source: RNAcentral